UGUAGGCACUUGUUUGUCAAAUUCUAGGAUGGUAAAACUUUAACAAGAUCUUGGGAAGUUCAUAAAAAGGACAGAAUGUAAAUUUUUGUUUGCUUAUUAGCUGUGGGAACCUGAGCAAUGGAAAAGAAGGGUUUGAAAAGCAUCUGCUGAAGUUUUUCAGCUUGGUCGUAUGGGAACUCUUAUCCAGUGGAGUGCACAAAAGCCUGGAAAUACCUGGAAAUGCAUACCUGUUGCUACUGAAAGUUCAGCUGUUCUUGUCAGGUUCUGAGUUCUAUCAACUAAAAUGUGGACAUCAAAGAGAAGACUGAGAGGAGAACUCAUUGCAGUCUACAACUUCCUCAGAUCAAGGGGAAGUGGAGGGGAAGCACCAAUCUCUUGACUCUGGUGAUUGGUGAGAGGACCUGAGGGAACGGAGUGAAGCUGUGUCAAGGGAAGGUUUAGGCUGGAUAUUAGAAAGUUGUCUUUUCCCUGAAGCUGUGCUUCCAUGAUUCUAAUCCUUUACAAUACAAUACAGCAGUUUGAAUUGAAUUUUUGUUACUGUACAAUGUGUGUACAAUGCAUGUACAAAAAAAACUACAAAGGAAAAUGUUCUGUUCUGAUGAGACAAAGGAUUAGGAAUUUGAGAGCUAAUAAUUCAUAUUACAUACUAGAAUCCAAGCUGAAACAGUGAAAGAGUGCCAUGUACAAUAUUUUUACUGUUAAAGUUUUUUUAAGGAUUUUACCCGCUGAUGAUGUAAGUUAAGUCACUAAUAACAGUGUGGCUUAUUCAGUUAAUCUAUUGUCAGAUUUAGGAGUUACAAUAAACUAUCCCAGACUAUCAGUAGAGUGAAAAUAAGGGAAAUCUUAGAACAAGUGGGAUUUCAAAUUGUAUCACACCAUUGUAUUAUGUAUGGUUCCAAAAGGUUGAAAAUGUCUUGCAAACUUCUCUGAAAAAUCUAGCUCUAAAGAAUAGAUUGUUUUCCGUUGGUCAUGUAUCUCUACUUGUCUAUGUUAGAGGAUUCCAGACACAUGCUUUCAAUGUUUCUCCCUGAAAUCUAGGAUAAAACAAUGAGUCCCUUUGCACAGCAUCUAACAGUCUCACAGAAACCUGCUGCCCUAAAUUAUGUAUCUAUUUCUUAGUUUAAGGAAGCUUAAGUGAGAUUAUGGGGAAAUUUGUGAAUGGUGGUGUGAAGAGGAAUAGCAAAACCUUCUAAUAUGUGAGUAUACAGGACUUAAAAGAAAAGGGGUUAUUUCUCUUUUAGUUUGUUCAGUAGUAAUUUUCUAAUUUUCCGUUGUGUUUGAAGGAUUGAAAUUCUCAAGUAAUUCCCUUCCAACCCAGGCCAUUCUGUGAUACUGUGAAUUUCUAGAAUGUGCCCUCUGAGGGGCAGCAUUGAAAAGCAAGUUUCUGUAAACAGCUACUUCUAGUCAUACUAUAGAUUAGGUGUAAGGAAGGGAUUAAAAAAUUAGAGUUUAUUUUCUGUUGUCUGGAAUAACUGGUUUUCAAAGGUAACUCAUAUGUUUAAGAGUAUUAAUGCCAAUCUGUCAAAAACCCUGUAGCAAGCAUGUUUCAGUUUAAGAGAUAAAACCAUCAGAAUUC
Long non-coding RNA from Poecile atricapillus (Black-capped chickadee), 1576 nucleotides. RefSeq lists it as uncharacterized. The transcript is spliced from 3 exons. The record is from RefSeq and is a predicted model, not a curated record. Lineage: Eukaryota; Metazoa; Chordata; Aves; Passeriformes; Paridae.